GAUGAACGCUGGCGGCGUGCCUAACACAUGCAAGUCGAGCGAACAGACGAGGAUCUUGCUCCUCUGACGUUAGCGGCGGACGGGUGAUGAACACGUGGAUAACCUACCUAUAAGACUGGGAUAACUUCGGGAAACCGGAGCUAAUACCGGAUAAUAUAUUGAACCGCAUGGUUCAAUAGUGAAAGACGGUUUUGCUGUCACUUAUAGAGGGAUCCGCGCCGCAUUGGCUAGUUGGUAAGGUAACGGCUUACCAAGGCAACGAUGCGUAGCCGACCUGAGAGGAUGAUCGGCCACACUGGAACUGAGACACGGUCCAGACUCCUACGGGAGGCAGCAGUAGGGAAUCUUCCGCAAUGGGCGAGAGCCUGACCGAGCCACGCCGCGUGAGUGAUGAAGGUCUUCGGAUCGUAAAACUCUGUUAUUAGGGAAGAACAAAUGUGUAAGUAACUAUGCACGUCUUGACGGUACCUAAUCAAAAAGCCACGGCUAACUACGUG
This 497-nucleotide ribosomal RNA is filed under the name uncultured bacterium. RNAcentral describes it as "partial 16S ribosomal RNA". It matches the Rfam family "Bacterial small subunit ribosomal RNA", at positions 28 to 507 of the family's 1533-position model. The record is from RNAcentral.